This 253-nucleotide ribosomal RNA is filed under the name uncultured bacterium. RNAcentral's name for it is "partial 16S ribosomal RNA". It matches the Rfam family "Bacterial small subunit ribosomal RNA", at positions 524 to 776 of the family's 1533-position model. The record is from RNAcentral.
GACGUAGGUGGCGAACGUUAUCCGGAAUUAUUGGGCGUAAAGGAUGCGUAGAUGGUGUAGUCAGUUAUCGGUGGCAAAUCGAGGCUCAACCUCGUGGAAGUCGGUAAUACUGCUAUGCUAGAGGAUAGGAGAGGUUAACGGAACUCCCUGUGGAGCGGUGAAAUGCGUAGAGAUCGGGAAGAACACCAGUGGCGAAGGCGGCCGGCUGGGGGCGCCCUGACGCUGAGGCGCGAGAGCGUGGGGAGCGAACCGG